GUACAAUUUGGAAAUUAGUAUGGCGUUCAUUAUCACUGAACUAGUAUAUAUUUGUUUAAGGGCCAGCUGAAGGACGCCUCCGGGUGCGGGAAUUUUUCGCUACAUUGAAGACCUGUUGGUGACCUUCUGCUGUUGUUUUUUUCUAUGGUCGGGUUGUUGUCUCUUUGGCACAUUCCCCAUUUCCAUUCUCAAUUUUAUGAU
This 201-nucleotide long non-coding RNA is filed under the name Mytilus galloprovincialis (Mediterranean mussel). Lineage: Eukaryota; Metazoa; Mollusca; Bivalvia; Mytilida; Mytilidae. The record is from RNAcentral.